CCUACGGGUGGCAGCAGUGGGGAAUAUUGGACAAUGGGGGAAACCCUGAUCCAGCGACGCCGCGUGAAUGAUGAAGGCCUUAGGGUUGUAAAGUUCUUUCGUCCGUGACGAUGAUGACAGUAGCGGAAGAAGAAGCUCCGGCUAACUUCGUGCCAGCAGCCGCGGUAAUACGAAGGGGGCUAGCGUUGCUCGGAAUUACUGGGCGUAAAGCGCACGUAGGCGGCGAUUCGAGUCAGAUGUGAAAGGCCUGGGCUUAACCCGGGAACUGCAUUUGAUACUGAAUUGCUAGAGUCCAAGAGAGGGUAGUGGAAUUCCCAGUGUAGAGGUGAAAUUCGUAGAUAUUGGGAAGAACACCAGUGGCGAAGGCGGCUACCUGGCUUGGUACUGACGCUCAGGUGCGAAAGCGUGGGGAGCGAACAGGAUUAGAUACCCCGGUAGUC
RNAcentral lists this ribosomal RNA (440 nucleotides) under uncultured bacterium. RNAcentral describes it as "bacterial SSU rRNA". It matches the Rfam family "Bacterial small subunit ribosomal RNA", at positions 338 to 795 of the family's 1533-position model. The record is from RNAcentral.